RNAcentral lists this ribosomal RNA (492 nucleotides) under uncultured bacterium. RNAcentral describes it as "partial 16S ribosomal RNA". It matches the Rfam family "Bacterial small subunit ribosomal RNA", at positions 29 to 507 of the family's 1533-position model. The record is from RNAcentral.
AGUGAACGCUGGCGGUAGGCCUAACACAUGCAAGUCGAACGGCAGCACAGUAAGAGCUUGCUCUUACGGGUGGCGAGUGGCGGACGGGUGAGGAAUACAUCGGAAUCUACUUUUUCGUGGGGGAUAACGUAGGGAAACCUACGCUAAUACCGCAUACGACCUACGGGUGAAAGCAGGGGAUCUUCGGACCUUGCGCGAUUGAAUGAGCCGAUGUCGGAUUAGCUAGUUGGCGGGGUAAAGGCCCACCAAGGCGACGAUCCGUAGCUGGUCUGAGAGGAUGAUCGGCCACACUGGAACUGAGACACGGUCCAGACUCCUACGGGAGGCAGCAGUGGGGAAUAUUGGACAAUGGGCGCAAGCCUGAUCCAGCCAUACCGCGUGGGUGAAGAAGGCCUUCGGGUUGUAAAGCCCUUUUGUUGGGAAAGAAAAGCAGCAGGUUAAUACCCCGCUGUUCUGACGGUACCCAAAGAAUAAGCACCGGCUAACUUCGUG